RNAcentral lists this ribosomal RNA (439 nucleotides) under uncultured bacterium. RNAcentral's name for it is "partial 16S ribosomal RNA". It matches the Rfam family "Bacterial small subunit ribosomal RNA", at positions 339 to 795 of the family's 1533-position model. The record is from RNAcentral.
CUACGGGGUGCUCCAGUGGGGAAUAUUGCACAAUGGGGGAAACCCUGAUGCAGCAACGCCGCGUGGAGGAUGACGCAUUUCGGUGUGUAAACUCCUUUUAUAUCCCAAGAUAAUGACGGUAGGAUAUGAAUAAGCACCGGCUAGAUCCGUGCCAGCAGCCGCGGUAAUACGGAGGGUGCAAGCGUUACUCGGAAUCACUGGGCGUAAAGGAUGCGUAGGCUGGAAAUCAAGUCAGGAGUGAAAUCCAACGGCUCAACCGUUGAACUGCUUCUGAAACUGGUUACCUAGAAUAUGGGAGAGGUAGAUGGAAUUAGUGGUGUAGGGGUAAAAUCCGUAGAGAUCACUAGGAAUACCGAUUGCGAAGGCGAUCUACUGGAACAUAAUUGACGCUGAGGCAUGAAAGCGUGGGGAGCAAACAGGAUUAGAUACCCCGGUAGUC